RNAcentral lists this long non-coding RNA (359 nucleotides) under Androctonus crassicauda. Lineage: Eukaryota; Metazoa; Arthropoda; Arachnida; Scorpiones; Buthidae. The record is from RNAcentral.
AGCUGCUGUUUGGAGCACAAACAUUGGAAUGAUAUUCUUGGGAAUCAAAAAUUAAAAAAAUUAAAAAUGUCCAUUAGCACCAAGGAGCUCAUGGGUUACUCCAUUAGCACCAAGGAGCUCAUUGGUUCUCCAUCUAAACGGAGGCAUGCUGCGCGGUGCUGGGCUGGCUGCACUGAGUGGGAUGAUCGUUGCUUUAGAUCAGGUCCAUUGGGCUUGCGCAGUGAAUGCUCUCAGGCAGCGGGUGCUUGGACCGCUGUUCUGCCAUUGAUGGGGUGCCGGUCGCAUCCUCUGGUGAUGGUUUGCAAAGCUUCUUGGGUGUGGGCUUGAUUAGGCGCAGUGGUGGGCUUUGCUAUUGUGGC